RNAcentral lists this ribosomal RNA (440 nucleotides) under uncultured bacterium. RNAcentral's name for it is "partial 16S ribosomal RNA". It matches the Rfam family "Bacterial small subunit ribosomal RNA", at positions 338 to 795 of the family's 1533-position model. The record is from RNAcentral.
CCUACGGGAGGCUGCAGUGGGGAAUCUUGCGCAAUGGGCGAAAGCCUGACGCAGCCAUGCCGCGUGAAUGAUGAAGGUCUUAGGAUUGUAAAAUUCUUUCACCGGGGACGAUAAUGACGGUACCCGGAGAAGAAGCCCCGGCUAACUUCGUGCCAGCAGCCGCGGUAAUACGAAGGGGGCUAGCGUUGCUCGGAAUUACUGGGCGUAAAGGGAGCGUAGGCGGAUAGUUUAGUCAGAGGUGAAAGCCCAGGGCUCAACCUAGGAAUUGCCUUUGAUCCUGGCUAUCUUGAGUUUGGGAGAGGUGAGUGGAACUCCGAGUGUAGAGGUGAAAUUCGUAGAUAUUCGGAAGAACACCAGUGGCGAAGGCGACUCACUGGCCCAAUACUGACGCUGAGGCUCGAAAGCGUGGGGAGCAAACAGGAUUAGAUACCCGAGUAGUC